GAAAUGGGUUUAACGACACUUGAUCCAGCGAUCUGGACUUCGCCUUCUUGUUCGUAAUGUUAAGGUUCGUUUUUUCGCGUCUGGAGUAACGGAUGUGUCAAAAAUUAGAAAUAUUGGUAUCUCUGCCCAUAUUGACUCUGGAAAAACCACACUGACAGAAAUACUGUUGUUUUACUCUGGAAGAAUCAGUCAAAUGCGCG
This is a long non-coding RNA of Stylophora pistillata, 200 nucleotides long. The record is from RefSeq and is a predicted model, not a curated record. Lineage: Eukaryota; Metazoa; Cnidaria; Anthozoa; Scleractinia; Pocilloporidae.